AACGAACGCUGGCGGCAUGCCUAACACAUGCAAGUCGAACGAGACCUUCGGGUCUAGUGGCGCACGGGUGCGUAACGCGUGGGAAUCUACCCUCAGGUUCGGAAUAACUCAGAGAAAUUUGAGCUAAUACCGGAUGAUGACGUAAGUCCAAAGAUUUAUCGCCUGAGGAUGAGCCCGCGUAGGAUUAGGUAGUUGGUGAGGUAAAGGCUCACCAAGCCGACGAUCCUUAGCUGGUCUGAGAGGAUGAUCAGCCACACUGGGACUGAGACACGGCCCAGACUCCUACGGGAGGCAGCAGUGGGGAAUAUUGGACAAUGGGGGAAAGCCUGAUCCAGCAAUGCCGCGUGAGUGAUGAAGGCGUGAGGGUAGUAAAGCUCUUUUACCCGGGAUGAUAAUGACAGUACCGGGAGAAUAAGCUCCGGCUAACUCCGUG
RNAcentral lists this ribosomal RNA (433 nucleotides) under uncultured bacterium. RNAcentral's name for it is "partial 16S ribosomal RNA". It matches the Rfam family "Bacterial small subunit ribosomal RNA", at positions 29 to 507 of the family's 1533-position model. The record is from RNAcentral.